GAUGAAGAACGUAGUGAAAUGCGAUACGUAAUGUGAAUUGCAGAAUUCAGUGAAUCAUCGAAUCUUUGAACGCAUAUUGCGCUCUCUGGUAUUCCGGAGAGCAUGCUUGUUUGAGUAUCAGUAAACACCUCAACUUCCAUAUCUUUUUUGAAAUGGGAGUUGGACUUGAGUGAUCCCAACGCUUUUCCUCACCGAAAAGUGGCGGGUUACUUGAAAUGCAGGUGCAGCUGGACUUUUCUCUGAGCUAUAAGCAUAUCUAUUUAGUCUGCCUAAAAAACAGAUUAUUACCUUUGCUGCAGCUAACAUAAAGGAGAUUAGUUCUUGUGCUGACUGAUGCAGGAUUCACAAAGACGGCUUCGGCCGACUUUGUAAACUCGAUCUCAAAUCAAGUAAGACUACCCGCUGAACUUGAGCAUAUCAAUAAGCGGAGGA
This 432-nucleotide unclassified non-coding RNA is filed under the name soil metagenome. Its description in RNAcentral is "partial contains 5.8S ribosomal RNA, internal transcribed spacer 2, and large subunit ribosomal RNA". The stretch from base 1 to 120 matches the Rfam family "5.8S ribosomal RNA", at positions 35 to 154 of the family's 154-position model. The record is from RNAcentral.